GCUCGUAGUUGAACCUUGGGUCUGGCUGGCCGGUCCGCCUCACCGMGAGUACUGGUCCGGCUGGACCUUUCCUUCUGGGGAACCUCAUGGCCUUCACWGGCUGUGGGGGGAACCAGGACUUUUACUGUGAAAAAAUUAGAGUGUUCAAAGCAGGCCUUUGCUCGAAUACAUUAGCAUGGAAUAAUAGAAUAGGACGUGCGGUUCUAUUUUGUUGGUUUCUAGGACCGCCGUAAUGAUUAAUAGGGAUAGUCGGGGGCGUCAGUAUUCAGCUGUCAGAGGUGAAAUUCUUGGAUUUGCUGAAGACUAACUACUGCGAAAGCAUUCGCCAAGGAUGUUUUCAUUAAUCAGGGAACGAAAGUUAGGGGAUCGAAGACGACAGAUACCGUCGUAGUCUUAACCAUAAACUAUGCCGGACUAGGGAUCGGGCGGUGUUUCUAAGAUGACCCGCUCGGCGACCUUACKGAGWAAAAAWAGAU
RNAcentral lists this ribosomal RNA (476 nucleotides) under uncultured amoeba. RNAcentral's name for it is "SSU rRNA". It matches the Rfam family "Eukaryotic small subunit ribosomal RNA", at positions 628 to 1116 of the family's 1831-position model. The record is from RNAcentral.